RNAcentral lists this ribosomal RNA (215 nucleotides) under Campeiostachys nutans. Its description in RNAcentral is "Elymus nutans partial small subunit ribosomal RNA". The stretch from base 47 to 215 matches the Rfam family "Eukaryotic small subunit ribosomal RNA", at positions 694 to 864 of the family's 1831-position model. Lineage: Eukaryota; Viridiplantae; Streptophyta; Magnoliopsida; Poales; Poaceae. The record is from RNAcentral.
GGACCAUCAUGUCGGUCGUGCCUCGGUACGUACUGGUAUUGUUGGGUUCUCCCUUCUGACGAACCAUGAUGUCAUUAAUUUGGUGUUGCGGGGAAUUUGGACUGUUACUUUGAAAAAAUUAGAGUGUUUAAAGCAGGCAUUAGCUUGAAUACAUUAGCAUGGAAUAAUGAAAUAGGACGUUUGAUCCUAUUUUGUUGGUUUCUAGGAUUGACGUA